UUAAUUCGAUGCAACGCGAAAAACCUUACCUACCCUUGACAUGUCUGGAAUCCUGAAGAGAUUUAGGAGUGCUCGCAAGAGAACCGGAACACAGGUGCUGCAUGGCUGUCGUCAGCUCGUGUCGUGAGAUGUUGGGUUAAGUCCCGCAACGAGCGCAACCCUUGUCAUUAGUUGCUACGAAAGGGCACUCUAAUGAGACUGCCGGUGACAAACCGGAGGAAGGUGGGGAUGACGUCAAGUCCUCAUGGCCCUUAUGGGUAGGGCUUCACACGUCAUACAAUGGUCGGGACAGAGGGUCGCCAACCCGCGAGGGGGAGCCAAUCCCAGAAACCCGAUCGUAGUCCGGAUCGCAGUCUGCAACUCGACUGCGUGAAGUCGGAAUCGCUAGUAAUCGCGGAUCAGCAUGUCGCGGUGAAUACGUUCCCGGGUCUUGUACACACCGCCCGUCACACCAUGGGAGUGGGUUUUACCAGAAGUAGUUAGCCUAACCGUAAGGGGGGCGAUUACCACGGUAGGAUUCAUGACUGGGGUGAAGUCGUAACAAGGUAGCC
RNAcentral lists this ribosomal RNA (551 nucleotides) under Achromobacter sp. enrichment culture clone 071705_03. RNAcentral's name for it is "bacterial SSU rRNA". It matches the Rfam family "Bacterial small subunit ribosomal RNA", at positions 946 to 1501 of the family's 1533-position model. Lineage: Bacteria; Pseudomonadati; Pseudomonadota; Betaproteobacteria; Burkholderiales; Alcaligenaceae. The record is from RNAcentral.